AUGCUAGAGCACUUUUUCAUUGUGCUCCCCAACGAGAAGGCGACGACGCAUUCGUAUGUCAAUCCAUAUCAACUUUCGAUGCCAUUGACUGCGCCUACCAUGGUGACCAUGGGCAACGGGGAAUCAGGGUUCCAUUCCGUACAGGGACCCUGACAAAUGGCUACCACAUGCAAGGAAGGCA
This is a non-coding RNA of Pelobates cultripes (western spadefoot toad), 181 nucleotides long. The record is from the annotation of a GenBank genome assembly. NCBI's taxonomy places the organism in Eukaryota, Metazoa, Chordata, Amphibia, Anura, Pelobatidae.